RNAcentral lists this ribosomal RNA (478 nucleotides) under uncultured bacterium. Its description in RNAcentral is "partial 16S ribosomal RNA". It matches the Rfam family "Bacterial small subunit ribosomal RNA", at positions 28 to 507 of the family's 1533-position model. The record is from RNAcentral.
GAUGAACGCUGGCGGCGUGCUUAACACAUGCAAGUCGAACGAGAAGUGGAGACGGAAACCUUCGGGCGGAAGACUUUACUUCGAGUGGCGGACGGGAGAGUAACGCGUGGGUAACCUGCCUCAUACAGGGGGAUAACAGUUGGAAACGACUGUUAAUACCGCAUAAGACCACAGCACCGCAUGGUGCGGGGGUAAAAACUCCGGUGGUAUGAGAUGGACCCGCGUUCGAUUAGCCAGUUGGCGGGGUAACGGCCCACCAAAGCGACGAUCGAUAGCCGAUCUGAGAGGAUGACCGGACACAUUGGGACUGAGACACGGCCCAAACUCCUACGGGAGGCAGCAGUGGGGAAUAUUGCACAAUGGGGGAAACCCUGAUGCAGCGACGCCGCGUGAGUGAAGAAGUAUUUCGGUAUGUAAAGCUCUAUCAGCAGGGAAGAAAAUGACAGUACCUGAGUAAGAAGCCCCGGCUAACUACGUG